RNAcentral lists this small RNA (82 nucleotides) under Oceanihabitans sediminis. RNAcentral describes it as "Flavo-1 RNA". It matches the Rfam family "Flavo-1 RNA". The record is from Rfam by way of RNAcentral. Lineage: Bacteria; Pseudomonadati; Bacteroidota; Flavobacteriia; Flavobacteriales; Flavobacteriaceae.
GUUUAGCUUGCGUUAAGGAUUGCAGCGGCAUCCUUUUUUGCCAUCAAAAGCAAAAAAGAUAUAGCGGAAAGCCUGGUUUUCU